Manihot esculenta (cassava) is the source of this 1327-nucleotide RNA transcript. It is a transcript of the gene named RGS1-HXK1-interacting protein 1, with no coding region annotated. The record is from RefSeq and is a predicted model, not a curated record. The transcript has 9 exons. NCBI's taxonomy places the organism in Eukaryota, Viridiplantae, Streptophyta, Magnoliopsida, Malpighiales, Euphorbiaceae.
ACGAACCCAUACUAAAUAAACUGGGGGAAAUAUAGAGUUAAAAGGGGUCGACGGUGAAGGAGCGAACUAUCGUCUAGGGGCAUUUCAAGAAUCGGACAGCAUACGCAAAUGGCUGAAGAAGGUGGCAAUGGGAAAGGAAAUGAGAAUUGGGUAGAGGAUCUUCAACGUACUGUUAUCGAAUCCAAGGACUCGGCAAUUCGCUCUGCUCGAUCCUUUCAGCAAAAUUCUUCUUCCCAUUUUCGCUCCUUACAGGAUCAUGUGCCACAAGCAAUUUCCCAGUUUAAAGCUUAUGAAGAUACCUUUUUCAGCAGAAUUAAAGAGGAGUUGACGAGUGCAAAGGAACACCCAGUUGAGGCUAUUGGGGUUGCUGUAACCACUGGCCUCCUUCUUAUGCGAGGCCCUCGAAGAUUUUUGUUUCGCCAUACAUUUGGUAGACUUCUAAAUGAAGAGGCAAAAUUUCUUAAAGCUGAAAAGAAUGUGAAAGAGUUGAAUGUCUCAGUAGAUUUAAUGAAGAAUGAGAGCAAAAAGUUACUUGAAAGGGCAUCUCUUGCUGAAAAGGAUAUGAAACAUGGCCGUACUGAGCUCAUGGAUGCUGGAAAUCAAAUUCAACGUCUUGCUAAAUCAGCUUACAAGGUGGAAAAUCAAGUUGCAGCUUCAAUUACCGCUCAUUUCGCGAAUCAUAGACAAAAACCUUAACACAAAGAAGAAGAUACCCAUAGCUUCAAAGUUAUUGCUAAUUGCAAAGAAGUCUCAGUCUGCUGCUGUUGAUUUACCAAGAUAAUACUUGAUUCCUCAUUGCCACUAUCGAGAAAGAUUGAAACGAAGAUUACAUGGAUGAAGGAUAAAUUGGUUUUGGAUUAUUUGAUUAUGAUUUGAUGGAAGGGCUACGAGAAAUCCCUGGGAGGGAUGCUUUGAAACUUCGAGCCGAGGUUGCUUCUAUGGCGUCAGUUUUGAAGCAGCAUAGAACUGUGUUGGACAAACAGAUCAUGAAGAUUUCUGAACUAGGGGUUCCAGUUUGAUAGGAUAUAAUGAUGCUGAAGCCAGCACUUGGUGCAUCUGUAUUUUGUUUCUCUCAAUUCUAAUCCAUUUUCUGUUAUGCAGCAGCAAGCAGAGAAGUCAUUUAGGAACUAAUGUACGUCAUGGUAUUGCAUCUAUAAUCUGACGGAUUUCAUUAUAGAACUGAAGAACAGAUAGCAUGCAGAAGCAUUUUCUUUUUAUCUUUUGUUGAAUUGAUCAACGUUUUGUUAACUGGAGAGCUCAUAGCACUAGCUCAAUGACUACUUUUCUUCUAAGUUUUUGUUAUGAAAUAAGAGAAGAGCUCCAUGAC